RNAcentral lists this ribosomal RNA (914 nucleotides) under uncultured archaeon. RNAcentral's name for it is "bacterial SSU rRNA". It matches the Rfam family "Archaeal small subunit ribosomal RNA", at positions 1 to 922 of the family's 1478-position model. The record is from RNAcentral.
UUCCGGUUGAUCCUGCCGGACCUGACUGCUAUCGGAUUGAUACUAAGCCAUGCUAGUCUUUGUAGUAAUACAAGGCAUACGGCUCAGUAACGCGUAGUCAACCUACCCUAUGGACGGGGAUAAUCUCGGGAAACUGAGCAUAAUACCCGGCAGACCACUUAUCCUGGAAUGGUUAGUGGUUAAAAUGAUUCGUCGCCAUAGGAUGGGACUGCGGCCUAUCAGCUUGUUGGUGAGGUAAUGGCCCACCAAGGCGAUUACAGGUACGGGCUCUGAGAGGAGAGGCCCGGAGAUGGGUACUGAGACAAGGACCCAGGCCCUAUGGGGCGCAGCGGGCGAGAAAACUUUGCAAUGUGCGAAAGCACGACAAGGUUAAUCCGAGUGAUUUCUGCUAAAGGAAUCUUUUGUUAGUUCUAAAAAUACUAGUGAAUAAGGGGUGGGCAAGUUCUGGUGUCAGCCGCCGCGGUAAAACCAGCACCUCAAGUGGUCAGGAGGAUUAUUGGGCCUAAAGCAUCCGUAGCCUGUUCUAUAAGUUUGCGGUUAAAUCUAUACGCUCAACGUAUAGGCUGCCGUAAAUACUGUAGAACUAGGGAGUGGGAGAGGUAGACGGUACUCGAUAGGAAGGGGUAAAAUCCUUUGAUCUAUUGAUGACCACCUGUGGCGAAGGCGGUCUACCAGAACACGUUCGACGGUGAGGGAUGAAAGCUGGGGGAGCAAACCGGAUUAGAUACCCGGGUAGUCCCAGCCGUAAACGAUGCAGACUCGAUGAUGCAAUGGCAUAGAGCUAUUGCAGUAUCGCAGGGAAGCCGUUAAGUUUGCCGCCUGGGAAGUACGUACGCAAGUAUGAAACUUAAAGGAAUUGGCGGGGGAGCACCACAAGGGGUGAAGCCUGCGGUUCAAUUGGAAUCAACGCCGGA